Molecule: long non-coding RNA, 245 nt
Organism: Bradysia coprophila
Lineage: Eukaryota; Metazoa; Arthropoda; Insecta; Diptera; Sciaridae
Source: RefSeq, a predicted model, not a curated record
CGUUUGACCAGCUCUGAGAAAAGUGAGCAGUUUAACGUAAUUUUCAUAAACUGUUUACUUUUCUCAGAGCUGGUCAAACUGCUACAAAUAAAUCUAUUUUCUGUUGAAAGCUAACACAUUCGUGGUUGUUAUUGCGGUCCUAUAUUUAUGAAAAGGGAUUCUGUUGUAAAGAUAUAUUAUCAAAAGUAAACUAAUAUCCAGUAUUUAAGAAACGCCCAAAUGUGUGCUUUUCAACAAAGCACCGA